UACGUAGGGAGCAAGCGUUGUCCGGAAUCAUUGGGCGUAAAGCGCGCGUAGGCGGCCCCGUAAGUCCGCUGUGAAAGUCAAAGGCUCAACCUUUGAAAGCCGGUGGAUACUGUGGGGCUAGAGUCCGGAAGAGGCGAGUGGAAUUCCUGGUGUAGCGGUGGAAUGCGCAGAUAUCAGGAGGAACACCAAUAGCGAAGGCAGCUCGCUGGGACGGUACUGACGCUAAGGCGCGAAAGCGUGGGAGCGAACGAGG
This 253-nucleotide ribosomal RNA is filed under the name uncultured bacterium. Its description in RNAcentral is "partial 16S ribosomal RNA". It matches the Rfam family "Bacterial small subunit ribosomal RNA", at positions 524 to 777 of the family's 1533-position model. The record is from RNAcentral.